Molecule: ribosomal RNA, 293 nt
Filed under: uncultured bacterium
Lineage: Bacteria
Description: partial 16S ribosomal RNA
Source: RNAcentral
GGACUACAGGGGUAUCUAAUCCUGUUCGCUCCCCCAGCUUUCGCGCCUCAGCGUCAGGUACCAUCCAGGACACUGCCUUCGCCUUUGGUAUUCCUCCGGAUAUCUACGCAUUUCACCACUCCACCCGGAAUUCUAUGUCCCUCUCUGGCCCUCUAGUGCGCCAGUUUUCGGUAGGCCUUUGUCGGUUAAGCCGACAACUGUCACUCCGAACUUGGUACACCGCCUGCACGCCCUUUACGCCCAGUAACUCCGGACAACGCUCGCCCCCUACGUAUUACCGCGGCUGCUGGCAC